Long non-coding RNA from Zea mays, 537 nucleotides. RefSeq lists it as uncharacterized. Lineage: Eukaryota; Viridiplantae; Streptophyta; Magnoliopsida; Poales; Poaceae. The record is from RefSeq and is a predicted model, not a curated record. The transcript is spliced from 2 exons.
GAUGAAAAAAUGUUUCUACCUUUGCUACCUUCUCAUCGGUGGAGUGUUGUGCACCUUUCAUCCUACUUCUCAUCGGUGUCCUCGCCUUCUCCAUCUAACUAUUCUAUGUGAUCAAAUACAUAAGCGUCAUCCAUGGGUUCGGUCCCUACUUCAAUUAUCGUGUUACCAAGAUUUUUUUUCCAUGGUGCCUCUGUGUUUGUCCACAGUCUGUUAUUGCCUUAUUGGGAUGCAUCACGAUUCCAGAGUUGAGUUCGCUUAGCAGUCAUGUUCUCCUUAAUGAGUUAUGGGGUUAGGGACUUGGAUAGGCAUGUCUAGACUUGCUAUGCAUUGCCACUAUAUUUGGCAUGCUUAGAACCGCUACACAAAACUUGCUAUGUAUUUUGUCUAAAAAUACUAUAUUAGUGAUAUGCUUGCUAGACCUAUAUUUUUUUCUCUUCUAUUCUUGUAUGGGUCUAUCAAGAAUGAUGCAAUUAGAUAGGGAUACAUGCUUUGUCAAUAUUGUAUGAGUCUUUGAGUGUAGUAGCAAAAGUCUUGGCA